GUACACUCCUACGGGAGGCAGCAGUGGGGAAUUUUGGACAAUGGGCGAAAGCCUGAUCCAGCAAUGCCGCGUGUGUGAAGAAGGCCUUCGGGUUGUAAAGCACUUUUGUCCGGAAAGAAAUCCUUGGCUCUAAUACAGUCGGGGGAUGACGGUACCGGAAGAAUAAGCACCGGCUAACUACGUGCCAGCAGCCGCGGUAAUACGUAGGGUGCGAGCGUUAAUCGGAAUUACUGGGCGUAAAGCGUGCGCAGGCGGUUUGCUAAGACCGAUGUGAAAUCCCCGGGCUCAACCUGGGAACUGCAUUGGUGACUGGCAGGCUAGAGUAUGGCAGAGGGGGGUAGAAUUCCACGUGUAGCAGUGAAAUGCGUAGAGAUGUGGAGGAAUACCGAUGGCGAAGGCAGCCCCCUGGGCCAAUACUGACGCUCAUGCACGAAAGCGUGGGGAGCAAACAGGAUUAGAAACCCGAGUAGUCCCA
RNAcentral lists this ribosomal RNA (475 nucleotides) under uncultured organism. RNAcentral describes it as "partial 16S ribosomal RNA". It matches the Rfam family "Bacterial small subunit ribosomal RNA", at positions 331 to 797 of the family's 1533-position model. The record is from RNAcentral.